This 207-nucleotide ribosomal RNA is filed under the name uncultured bacterium. RNAcentral describes it as "partial 16S ribosomal RNA". It matches the Rfam family "Bacterial small subunit ribosomal RNA", at positions 568 to 774 of the family's 1533-position model. The record is from RNAcentral.
CGCGCAGGCGGUUUGAUUAGUCAGAUGUGAAAGCCCACGGCUCAACCGUGGAAGUGCAUUUGAAACUGUCAGACUUGAGUAUCAGAGGGGAAAGUGGAAUUCCUGGUGUAGAGGUGAAAUUCGUAGAUAUCAGGAGGAAUACCGGUGGCGAAGGCGACUUUCUGGCUGAAUACUGACGCUGAGGCGCGAAAGCGUGGGGAGCAAACA